This 285-nucleotide RNase P RNA is filed under the name Staphylococcus lugdunensis. RNAcentral's name for it is "RNase P RNA component class B". It matches the Rfam family "Bacterial RNase P class B". Rfam says of the family: Ribonuclease P (RNase P) is a ubiquitous endoribonuclease, found in archaea, bacteria and eukarya as well as chloroplasts and mitochondria. Its best characterised activity is the generation of mature 5'-ends of tRNAs by cleaving the 5'-leader elements of precursor-tRNAs. The record is from RNAcentral. Lineage: Bacteria; Bacillati; Bacillota; Bacilli; Caryophanales; Staphylococcaceae.
UAUUUUGGGUAAUCGCUAUAGCAAUAUAGAGGAAAGUCCAUGCUCACACAAUCUGAGAUGAUUGUAGUGUUCGUGCUUGAUGAAAUAAUAAAUCAAGGCAUUAAUUUGACGGCAAUGAAAUAACCUAAGUCAUCAGAUAAGGUUAAAUUAAUUUGAAAGUGCCACAGUGACGUAGCUUUUAUAGAAAUAUAAAAGGUGGAACGCGGUAAACCCCUCGAGUGAGCAAUCCAAAUUAGGUAGGAGCACUUGUUAUGAGUACAACGGAACAGAACAUGGCUUACAGAA